UGGUUCAUGGUCCAAAGGUAGGAUACCUCUGCCAUAGAGAGAGAUGCAGGUUCGAAUCCUGCUGAGCCAACCA
RNAcentral lists this transfer RNA (73 nucleotides) under Promethearchaeota archaeon. RNAcentral describes it as "Candidatus Lokiarchaeota archaeon tRNA-Trp". It matches the Rfam family "tRNA". Rfam says of the family: Transfer RNA (tRNA) molecules are approximately 80 nucleotides in length. Their secondary structure includes four short double-helical elements and three loops (D, anti-codon, and T loops). The record is from RNAcentral. Lineage: Archaea; Promethearchaeati; Promethearchaeota.